Long non-coding RNA from Eptesicus fuscus (big brown bat), 287 nucleotides. RefSeq lists it as uncharacterized. The transcript is spliced from 3 exons. The record is from RefSeq and is a predicted model, not a curated record. Lineage: Eukaryota; Metazoa; Chordata; Mammalia; Chiroptera; Vespertilionidae.
GUAGGUCUGAAGAAGCAGGAGACAGGCCCUGGAUGGAGGUGCCCCAUUUGAAACCAGGGUUUCAAAUAUAAAUUCUUCAGAAUCCAGUGGAUUGUUUCACCUCAUCAGGAGUCCAGCGUGUGCCUGGGCAGGCGAUAGUGCUCUGCUUUGGGACGGAGCUUCUUUUCCUGUGGGUUGGCAUACUUCCACUUGGAAGAUAAGAAUAUCAGGAUGAAGGGAAAGUAGGAGGACAGAGGAUAAAAGUAAAGCUAAUGUUUGGACACAAAAAUGCACAUCAUAAGGCACUA